CCUACGGGAGGCAGCAGUGAGGAAUAUUGGACAAUGGGCGCAAGCCUGAUCCAGCCAUGCCGCGUGCAGGAAGACGCAUCUAUGGUGUGUAAACUGCUUUUGUACGGGAAGAAACACUCCCUCGUGAGGGAGCUUGACGGUACCGUAAGAAUAAGGAUCGGCUAACUCCGUGCCAGCAGCCGCGGUAAUACGGAGGAUCCAAGCGUUAUCCGGAAUCAUUGGGUUUAAAGGGUCCGUAGGCGGUUUAAUAAGUCAGUGGUGAAAGCCCAUCGCUCAACGAUGGAACGGCCAUUGAUACUGUUAGACUUGAAUUACUAGGAAGUAACUAGAAUAUGUAGUGUAGCGGUGAAAUGCUUAGAUAUUACAUGGAAUACCAAUUGCGAAGGCAGGUUACUACUAGUGGAUUGACGCUGAUGGACGAAAGCGUGGGGAGCGAACAGGAUUAGAUACCCUGGUAGUCCACGCCGUAAACGAUGGAUACUAGCUGUUGGGCACAAGUUCAGUGGCUAAGCGAAAGUGAUAAGUAUCCCACCUGGGGAGUACGUUCGCAAGAAUGAAACUCAAAGGAAUUGACGG
RNAcentral lists this ribosomal RNA (576 nucleotides) under uncultured bacterium. Its description in RNAcentral is "bacterial SSU rRNA". It matches the Rfam family "Bacterial small subunit ribosomal RNA", at positions 338 to 916 of the family's 1533-position model. The record is from RNAcentral.